AACGAACGCUGGCGGCAUGCCUAACACAUGCAAGUCGAACGAGACCUUCGGGUCUAGUGGCGCACGGGUGCGUAACGCGUGGGAACCUGCCCUUAGGUUCGGAAUAACUCCCCGAAAGGGGUGCUAAUACCGGAUAAUGUCUUCGGCCCAAAGAUUUAUCGCCUUUGGAUGGGCCCGCGUUGGAUUAGCUAGUUGGUAGGGUAAAAGCCUACCAAGGCGACGAUCCAUAGCUGGUCUGAGAGGAUGAUCAGCCACACUGGGACUGAGACACGGCCCAGACUCCUACGGGAGGAAGCAGUGGGGAAUAUUGGACAAUGGGCGAAAGCCUGAUCCAGCAAGGCCGCGUGAGUGAUGAAGGCCUUAGGGUUGUAAAGCUCUUUUAACCGGGAUGAUAAUGACAGUACCGGGAGAAUAAGCGCCGGCUAACUCCGUG
RNAcentral lists this ribosomal RNA (433 nucleotides) under uncultured bacterium. RNAcentral describes it as "partial 16S ribosomal RNA". It matches the Rfam family "Bacterial small subunit ribosomal RNA", at positions 29 to 507 of the family's 1533-position model. The record is from RNAcentral.